Long non-coding RNA from Pantherophis guttatus, 204 nucleotides. RefSeq lists it as uncharacterized. NCBI's taxonomy places the organism in Eukaryota, Metazoa, Chordata, Lepidosauria, Squamata, Colubridae. The record is from RefSeq and is a predicted model, not a curated record.
AAGAAAAGCAGCAUACUUGAAGAUUUGCAUUCAUCCACUCUUCUCUUCCAUGUCUACAUGAAAAUGGGAUUGCAUCAGAGAUGUUGAUUGGGUGUCGAUGGCUGGCUAUUAUGCUCUCGAGAGAUCUCCAUGGGAGGCUGGUUGUGAUGCAAGCUGUGACAUCAAAUGGUGGAAUUCUCUCAGCAUUUAGCCCCAGGAGCCGGA